CCUACGGGUGGCAGCAGUGGGGAAUAUUGCACAAUGGGGGAAACCCUGAUGCAGCAACGCCGCGUGAGCGAUGAAGGCCUUCGGGUCGUAAAGCUCUGUCCUAAGGGAAGAAUACUGACGGUACCUUAGGAGGAAGCCCCGGCUAACUACGUGCCAGCAGCCGCGGUAAUACGUAGGGGGCUAGCGUUAUCCGGAAUUACUGGGCGUAAAGGGUGCGUAGGCGGCCCUUCAAGUCAGAGGUGAAAGGCUACGGCUCAACCGUAGUAAGCCUUUGAAACUGUAGGGCUUGAGUGCAGGAGAGGAGAGUGGAAUUCCCAGUGUAGCGGUGAAAUGCGUAGAUAUCAGGAGGAAUACCAGUGGCGAAGGCGACUUUCUGGACUUAGACUGACGCUGAGGUACGAAAGCGUGGGGAGCAAACAGGAUUAGAUACCCUGGUAGUC
RNAcentral lists this ribosomal RNA (440 nucleotides) under uncultured bacterium. Its description in RNAcentral is "bacterial SSU rRNA". It matches the Rfam family "Bacterial small subunit ribosomal RNA", at positions 338 to 795 of the family's 1533-position model. The record is from RNAcentral.